UACGGUGAAUACGUUCCCCGGACCUUGUACACACCGCCCGUCAAGCCAUGGAAGCUGGGUGUACCUAAAGUCGGUAACCGCAAGGAGCCGCCUAGGGUAAAACUAGUAACUGGGGCU
Molecule: ribosomal RNA, 117 nt
Filed under: uncultured bacterium
Lineage: Bacteria
Description: partial 16S ribosomal RNA
Rfam family: Bacterial small subunit ribosomal RNA
Source: RNAcentral